AGAGUUUGAUCAUGGCUCAGAAUGAACGCUGGCGGCGUGCUUAACACAUGCAAGUCGUGCGCGAAGGUGGCUUCGGCCACCGGAGAGCGGCGAACGGGUGAGUAACACGUGGGUGAUCUGCCUGGGAGCGGGGGAUAACCUGGGGAAACUCGGGCUAAUACCGCAUACGUUGCUCUGGUUGCGGCUGGAGCAAGAAAGCUGGCCUCUAUUUAUAAGCUAGCGCUCGCAGAGGAGCCCGCGGCUGAUUAGCUAGUUGGUAGGGUAAUGGCCUACCAAGGCGACGAUCAGUAGCCGGCCUGAGAGGGUGAUCGGCCACACUGGGACUGAGACACGGCCCAGACUCCUACGGGAGGCAGCAGUGGGGAAUAUUGGACAAUGGGCGCAAGCCUGAUCCAGCAACGCCGCGUGGAGGACGAAGAUCUUCGGAUCGUAAACUCCUGUCAGGCGGGACGAAGGCUUCCGUGCGAACAGUGCGGAAGCUUGACGGUACUGCCAGAGGAAGCCCCGGCUAACUCCGUGCCAGCAGCCGCGGUAAUACGGAGGGGGCUAGCGUUAUUCGGAAUUAUUGGGCGUAAAGGGCGCGUAGGCGGCCCGGUAAGUCAAAGGUGAAAUCCCUCGGCUCAACUGAGGAACUGCCUUUGAAACUGUCGGGCUUGAGGCCGGGAGGGGGUAGCGGAAUUCCCAGUGUAGCGGUGAAAUGCGUAGAUAUUGGGAGGAACACCGGUGGCGAAGGCGGCUACCUGGACCGGUUCUGACGCUGAUGCGC
RNAcentral lists this ribosomal RNA (766 nucleotides) under uncultured bacterium. RNAcentral's name for it is "bacterial SSU rRNA". It matches the Rfam family "Bacterial small subunit ribosomal RNA", at positions 8 to 754 of the family's 1533-position model. The record is from RNAcentral.